AAAGGAGCGAUCCGGUGACGGAUGGGCAUGCGUGACAUUAGCUAGUCGGCGGGGUAACGGCCCACCGAGGCGACGAUGUCUAGGGGUUCUGAGAGGAAGGUCCCCCACACUGGUACUGAGACACGGACCAGACUCCUACGGGAGGCAGCAGUGAGGAAUAUUGGUCAAUGGGCUUACGCCUGAACCAGCCAAGUCGCGUGAGGGAAGACUGCCCUAUGGGUUGUAAACCUCUUUUGUCAGGGAGCAACGCCGGCUACGUGUAGCCGGACUGAGAGUACCUGAAGAAAAAGCAUCGGCUAACUCCGUGCCAGCAGCCGCGGUAAUACGGAGGAUGCGAGCGUUAUCCGGAUUUAUUGGGUUUAAAGGGUGCGUAGGCGGAAUGCCAAGUCAGCGGUAAAAUCGCGGGGCUCAACCUCGCUCCGCCGUUGAAACUGGCGUUCUUGAGUGGGCGAGAAGUAUGCGGAAUGCGUGGUGUAGCGGUGAAAUGCAUAGAUAUCACGCAGAACUCCGAUUGCGAAGGCAGCAUACCGGCGCCCAACUGACGCUGAAGCACGAAAGCGUGGGUAUCGAACAGGAUUAGAUACCCUGGUAGUCCACGCAGUAAACGAUGAAUACUAGCUGUUCGGGGCAAUUGGGCCUUGAGUGGC
Molecule: ribosomal RNA, 647 nt
Filed under: uncultured bacterium
Lineage: Bacteria
Description: bacterial SSU rRNA
Rfam family: Bacterial small subunit ribosomal RNA
Source: RNAcentral